ACGGCGCAUGCUCCGCAGCGCGGCGGGUCCACAGAUGAGGGGAGUCGAGACUCCCGCGCCCCACCACCCCCGGCGGAGCUGCUGCUGAGCCACUCAAUCUGAGCCCUGGCUACUAAUAAAAUUUGAGAGGGAAGAUCUGAUCUCCUAGAAUUAGAGUUGGUACAGAAACCAUUUCAGCUCCAAAAAUGUUGGAGGAAGAUAUGGAAGUCGCCAUAAAGAUGGUGGUUGUAGGGAAUGGAGCAGUUGGAAAAUCAAGUAUGAUUCAGCGAUAUUGCAAAGGCAUUUUUACAAAAGACUACAAGAAAACCAUUGGAGUUGAUUUUUUGGAGCGACAAAUUCAUUUUUAAGUAUUUGGCUGAAAAAUACCUUCAGAAACUCAAACAACAAAUAGCUGAGGAUCCAGAACUAACGCAUUCAAGUAGUAACAAGAUUGGUGUCUUUAAUACAUCUGGUGGAAGUCACUCCGGUCAGAAUUCAGGUACCCUCAAUGGUGGAGAUGUCAUCAAUCUUAGACCCAACAAACAAAGGACCAAGAAAAACAGAAAUCCUUUUAGCAGCUGUAGCAUACCCUAAGAUGUUUUGGGAGGAAAACAAUUGAAUUACAUUGUGCAAUGCAUUAAGAAACCCAUCCAGCUGUCAUGGUAUGUUACAAGGUUUUCAGCAGACUUUGCUCCUAAUGGCUCUCUGAAAGUGACAGACUUAAAUAUUGCUCUGCAGUGCUUUUCAGAAUGUAGAGUGAGACCUCUGGUGGAAAAAUUAUUGCCCUGUGGACUCCUUUAAUUUUUUUUACAUUAGACGAAGCUUCUCCUGUUUGUAAAGGAAUGCUAUAAGAAAUUUCAAACACAGGUUUUGCGGAAUUUUAAAUGCUGGAAAACAUAAAUGAAAUGCCUAAAUAUAUUGUUACAGAUUUUAAUACUGUGGAUCAAGGAAAGAUAGCAAGCAUUCUUUUCCUGAAAUUGGUCAUGUAGCUUUUCUGCGAAAUAGUAUUGAAUCUGAAUACUUUCACAAAAUAAUACUGAAAGGUAAACCCUAAAUCUUGCCAGACUGCAUUAGUAUUUUGGCAUUGAAACUUGUGCAAUAUCUGUGUAAUGUAGAAUGUGGGGUGUGCAUGCAGAUGUCUGGUACUGGAGUAAGCUGAAGGUAUGUGCAGUAUUUAAGAAAAUGUACAUUCUAAUUAAUUCACUUAUAAAACCAUUUACAUAUUGUGUAUAUGUUUUUAUUUUCAAAUGAUAAACUCUAGACAUAUAUUUUGCAAAAUGAGCUUGGGUUUAAAAAGUGCUUUGUGCCAAAAAUAUCAUACCUAAUUUUUAUAGUGCUUUACUAUCAGAAUUUAUAUUGUUUAUUAUAUCUUUUAAAAGCAGUAAGCAGUUUUCAUCUGACAGCGUAGAUAAAAGAGGAGUAUAGGAAUUUGAAUGCUAGAGCAUCUCCCAGGUGAGCCUUAUUGCAGAUCUUUUUGAUAUAGUCACCCAUAAGCAUGGUGAGCUCCUGCUCUCAUAAGGUCAGCCAAAGCCCCUUAAGAAGGUACACAGCACAUCUGCAGUCAUUCAGGAGGUCCUGUGAAGUGUGGUGAUGCAUCUAACACCUUUUGCUGCUCACUGAGAACCCAGCUUUGAACUUACAAGAUUACACUAACCAUUUUUAAAGUGCACAAAAAUAUUAUUAUUAGUCUUAACUAAAAUUACAUAUUUUAUAAUGCCCUGCAACUCUAAACCAUCCUUUUGUUUACACAUUUUUGUAUGGUAUUUUAAGAUUAUCAAUCACUUCAACAUUUCUAUAACCUUGUUUGUAUAGCACUUUCUCAAGAGCUGUCAGUCCCACAUACAGAAUCAUUUCUUUUACAAAAUGAUUUAAUAUGUAAUCAUGUGUCAGGACAUAAAUUUUGUCACUUGGGACAGUAGCUUUCCAGCUAAGAUAAUUGCGUGAACUCUGUUAAAACUGAUUAUCACUCAUCAAUGGCUUUAUUUUUAACCUAUAAAUAACCCCUUUCAAUAUACCUGGUUUUUACAGCAUUGCAAAAUCUGUAAAAAUAACUUUUAUUGGAAAAUGUCAUGAAGUCAUUUUUCAUUAUUUGUACUAAACAAUGUUUUAUGUACUCCUUUUGUGUUUUAUCUUUUGUUUUUCCAUCUGUACUCCCCUCAUCCUCCUAAUGUUGAGAAAAUCAAAUUUCCUGGGUGUGUCCUUGUUAAGUGAUCAAAAGUAAAUGUUCUCUUUGCCAUUUUAGAUGGAAAAAUAAAAAAAAUUAAAAAGUAAAUUUUUGCUUUUCAUUAUAUUGAAAUGAUCUGGCAUUAUCUAUUUCACAGUAAUGUAAAAUGCUUAUUUUUAUGUCACCAGUUGUCACCACUCCCAUUGCUGAUAGUGACAUAGGUUUUGGGGGCAAAAUUCAGUUCCUAACAAACAGUGGAUACUGCUAAUGAGUCAUCUUUUCUACUCUCUUCAAUUUUCUACUCUCUACUCUCCUCUUUAAUUUUUGCACAAAAUAAUACUUUGCAACAAAUAGUCUUUUGUCUUUAUUGGCAGAAAAAUCACUUGUUAUAUGUGUUCUAGUUAGUUCUUUUUCAUGUUAGCUGUGUGGCUAAAAGCGUGUUACCUUUCUAUAUUUAAAAAAAGUAAUCUCUGAGGAUAGUUACAGUUCCUGUAAUAUAAUUUUAUGUACCUAGUUUUAUCUUUUUUUAAAUAAGAACUGAAGAGAGAGCUUUGUUACAUAUUUGAAUUUUUAAUUUGCACUGCUGUAUUUUAAACCUAACCAUAAUUAGUCAUUUAAAAUAAUUAAGUAGGCCUGAAAGUCAGCCAUGUUAAUUUCUCAAUUUAAUCAAUUCUUAAAGCCUUCAAAAAUUGACAUUUUUUUUCCAAGACCCUUCAUUCUCUUAAAUAACUUUAAUUUUAUGAAACCAUGUAUACUAAAGAAAAACUUUUCCAAGAUUCCAGGUGAUUGUGCAUUUGUGCUCUAAUCUACUUUUUUAACAUUACGGCUAAUCUUUUGCGUAGACAUAUCGCUGUGGAAUAACUGCCAUAUUUCAGAGUUCCUCAGGUUUCCUUUUCCUUUUCCAGUCUCUGUCUAUGAAUUAAAUAGUAUAUAGAAUGACCCAUAUAAGGCAAUAUAGUUAAAUAAAACCAGGUUAAAUGAUUUCCUUUGUAUCUGCCCAAAGUUGAUAGCACACGUUACUUUUUCAAAAUAAAGCUAAAACUACCAAAAAGAGGAUGAAAACUUUUUCCUCAUUAUGGAGUGAAGUUCUAGGUGGUUGCUUUAGAAGUUGGCAGUGCAGUGCUCAGAAGGAACUCUCAAUAAAUAACAUGUACUCCUUGGACCUGUGAGUUUUAGGAAACUGGACCUUUUCUGAAGACCUUAGAAUAGGGAGUUGGCCUUAGGACCUAAUGUCCCAACUUAGUGUUGGACCCUUUUAAUAUAAGAUAUUGUUAAUUAUUAGCAUACUUUUCAAAACCUUUGAAAUAGUUACUGCUAACCUGAUAAAAUGUUCCCAUUAAUCUAUCAUUAGUCUGUUUCUCUGAAAACAAAAUGCAUUGAUGAGGUGAAAGCUUGUUCCACAUGGCACCUACCUAAUGAACAGGACUUACUCAGUUUUUAACUGUUAAGAAUGUCACAUGUACUAUUGUCACUCCUUAGGUUUUCAGCUAUAAAACAUGUAAGUCUCUCAUCAUACAGAUGAAUUCAUUUGCUAACAAAAUAUUUAAAACCCGCAGUAGACUCUGAAAUAUCCAGUCAUCAAACUCCUGGCUAACUGGAUGAUUUGGCUAUAAUAAUCUUUAUUAUUAUUAUUUUCAUCUGUCUCUCGAAAUAUCUACAGUAGGAUGUUAGUAAAUGGUCUUUUAAAAGCAAAAAAUUGGGGAUAAAAGGAAAACUGAAUUCCUUCUAUAUUUUUAUUACUAAUAAAUAAUGCUUUUGUAAAUUUGAAUGGAAAACCACUUGUAUGUAUUGCUAUUUGGUUGCAGUUACACUCUGGAGCUUAAUUUAAAACACUACUCUAAAAAUUUCAUGAAGGAUGAAUUCCAAUAAUCAGAAAAUAAAUGCAUUUCAAAGCUAAA
This 4041-nucleotide long non-coding RNA is filed under the name Homo sapiens (human). RNAcentral's name for it is "non-protein coding lnc-RAB23-6:1". The record is from RNAcentral. Lineage: Eukaryota; Metazoa; Chordata; Mammalia; Primates; Hominidae.